GUUCACGGCGUCUGCAUUCUCGCAGGCAGCCCUCACAGGGAUGAGUAUCGGACGAUUUCCUACUGCUCGCUCCCGGAGAUCCGGGGGACGACGCAUGGAUCAACUUAUCCCGAUGAGGCCGUGAGAUGAAAACGGGAUGAUCUGGGAAUCAUGUGUGUUUGCUGGAAAGUGAGGAAGAGUUUGAUGUCGUCUCGUGAAACGUGUGGCGAAAGGUGAACAGCGUAGCUCGGCGUUUCGGGCCUUCGAAACUCACGAUCACAAUCAUCUGAUAAGGCGCCCUGCUACGAACUCAUGUGAAGGUCGGCAUGGUGUAUCGGCGAGCUCGGUCAUGCAGCAUAUUAGUGCACUCACCGGAUAACAUCAAACUUGUAAACAGAGAAGAUGUGAUGUUAUCUGGUGAGUGCGCUAAUACGCGGCAUGAUCUCAUAAUACGCGGCCGUUCUCACACAAGUGGUUCGCAUGUCAGGGACAUUUAUCAAGACGCUUCCGAUGAAGAUACAGAAGGCGAAAUACAUGUGUUACACCAGCGAGGUUCACAUACGGCUCAGCUCAUUUGAGCAACGCUUCGACGGAACAGGCGUUACCGAUCGCAAAGUGCCGAUGACUAAAGUGCACGGACGCAUGUACAGAUGUUCAGUCAGAGUGCAGUUAUGAAGGAUGCUCUCCACUGGCAUACAUGGACAUGACCAACGUUCAAGAUGCCAACGUCUUGCGCACGUCAGCGAAGCAGAUGCUUGGCACAUCGGUCACAGGUCUUAGGGUGUUAAUAGGUGCUUCUCGAGGUCCGUCUCAGGCGAUCUCCCCACAUCGGAACCUUUACAGCUCAAGUGCUCAGAAUGAUGCAUACCACGAAGCUUAUUCAGGAGCACCACACCGCGCGGCUUGACCUCAUAUUGGCCAAGUUAACAACGGCACCAACGGAAGGGCCUGCAGAAAAUGACAUCUUGAGGGAGCCAUUCUAAUAUUGUCAAGAGCUUCUGCGAUUCGAUGUCUCUCUUUACCAUCACAAGGGCUAUAAUUGAUACGUUCUGCACAAUCCCACUCAUACUCCACGCGCAUUGUCUACAUGUAUUUGGGAUAAGGUUGUGCGUAAAGUUCUGUUUUCGUCAGUUGAGUAACUCAUGGCUUCUCUUAACGUUGCGGGAGCACGUUCUUCUGAGAUGCGGGGGCAGUGACGAAAGGGACGCCACUAGACUGAUCCUAUGUCAACUGAUGUCAGAUGAUGUGGCACAGAACCUCAGUUACAAGGGUCGUCAAGGGAAAAAAAAGGAACUGCAGCACCCUCAAUCUGGGGAAAGAUUGUCAUUCGUAUGUGCUUUGCUCUGCAUACUAAAGUGCUUAUAACACUCAAAUCAUCCAUUUGCAGCCUUGAAACUGUCUUGUCGUGCUCUCAUGCAUGCUCAAACCACUAGAAUGUUGCCCGCUCGAAGGUUCAUCCAGUGUAUAAAUGUGUGGGUGGAUUAUUUGCCUCCUGUAAUCCUGUUUUCUCUCGUGGGGUUUAAUAUCCGCAGUUGUAUGCAAUACUUACUUGAGUACUACAGUAAUAAUAAAUUCGUAAUAAUAAAGUA
Molecule: long non-coding RNA, 1568 nt
Organism: Ornithodoros turicata
Lineage: Eukaryota; Metazoa; Arthropoda; Arachnida; Ixodida; Argasidae
Exons: 4
Source: RefSeq, a predicted model, not a curated record